This 2058-nucleotide ribosomal RNA is filed under the name Staphylococcus aureus. Its description in RNAcentral is "partial 23S ribosomal RNA". It matches the Rfam family "Bacterial large subunit ribosomal RNA", at positions 488 to 2550 of the family's 2925-position model. The record is from RNAcentral. Lineage: Bacteria; Bacillati; Bacillota; Bacilli; Caryophanales; Staphylococcaceae.
UAGUGAACCAGUACCGUGAGGGAAAGGUGAAAAGCACCCCGGAAGGGGAGUGAAAUAGAACCUGAAACCGUGUGCUUACAAGUAGUCAGAGCCCGUUAAUGGGUGAUGGCGUGCCUUUUGUAGAAUGAACCGGCGAGUUACGAUUUGAUGCAAGGUUAAGCAGUAAAUGUGGAGCCGUAGCGAAAGCGAGUCUGAAUAGGGCGUUUAGUAUUUGGUCGUAGACCCGAAACCAGGUGAUCUACCCUUGGUCAGGUUGAAGUUCAGGUAACACUGAAUGGAGGACCGAACCGACUUACGUUGAAAAGUGAGCGGAUGAACUGAGGGUAGCGGAGAAAUUCCAAUCGAACCUGGAGAUAGCUGGUUCUCUCCGAAAUAGCUUUAGGGCUAGCCUCAAGUGAUGAUUAUUGGAGGUAGAGCACUGUUUGGACGAGGGGCCCCUCUCGGGUUACCGAAUUCAGACAAACUCCGAAUGCCAAUUAAUUUAACUUGGGAGUCAGAACAUGGGUGAUAAGGUCCGUGUUCGAAAGGGAAACAGCCCAGACCACCAGCUAAGGUCCCAAAAUAUAUGUUAAGUGGAAAAGGAUGUGGCGUUGCCCAGACAACUAGGAUGUUGGCUUAGAAGCAGCCAUCAUUUAAAGAGUGCGUAAUAGCUCACUAGUCGAGUGACACUGCGCCGAAAAUGUACCGGGGCUAAACAUAUUACCGAAGCUGUGGAUUGUCCUUUGGACAAUGGUAGGAGAGCGUUCUAAGGGCGUUGAAGCAUGAUCGUAAGGACAUGUGGAGCGCUUAGAAGUGAGAAUGCCGGUGUGAGUAGCGAAAGACGGGUGAGAAUCCCGUCCACCGAUUGACUAAGGUUUCCAGAGGAAGGCUCGUCCGCUCUGGGUUAGUCGGGUCCUAAGCUGAGGCCGACAGGCGUAGGCGAUGGAUAACAGGUUGAUAUUCCUGUACCACCUAUAAUCGUUUUAAUCGAUGGGGGGACGCAGUAGGAUAGGCGAAGCGUGCGAUUGGAUUGCACGUCUAAGCAGUAAGGCUGAGUAUUAGGCAAAUCCGGUACUCAUUAAGGCUGAGCUGUGAUGGGGAGAAGACAUUGUGUCUUCGAGUCGUUGAUUUCACACUGCCGAGAAAAGCCUCUAGAUAGAAAAUAGGUGCCCGUACCGCAAACCGACACAGGUAGUCAAGAUGAGAAUUCUAAGGUGAGCGAGCGAACUCUCGUUAAGGAACUCGGCAAAAUGACCCCGUAACUUCGGGAGAAGGGGUGCUCUUUAGGGUUAACGCCCAGAAGAGCCGCAGUGAAUAGGCCCAAGCGACUGUUUAUCAAAAACACAGGUCUCUGCUAAACCGUAAGGUGAUGUAUAGGGGCUGACGCCUGCCCGGUGCUGGAAGGUUAAGAGGAGUGGUUAGCUUCUGCGAAGCUACGAAUCGAAGCCCCAGUAAACGGCGGCCGUAACUAUAACGGUCCUAAGGUAGCGAAAUUCCUUGUCGGGUAAGUUCCGACCCGCACGAAAGGCGUAACGAUUUGGGCACUGUCUCAACGAGAGACUCGGUGAAAUCAUAGUACCUGUGAAGAUGCAGGUUACCCGCGACAGGACGGAAAGACCCCGUGGAGCUUUACUGUAGCCUGAUAUUGAAAUUCGGCACAGCUUGUACAGGAUAGGUAGGAGCCUUUGAAACGUGAGCGCUAGCUUACGUGGAGGCGCUGGUGGGAUACUACCCUAGCUGUGUUGGCUUUCUAACCCGCACCACUUAUCGUGGUGGGAGACAGUGUCAGGCGGGCAGUUUGACUGGGGCGGUCGCCUCCUAAAAGGUAACGGAGGCGCUCAAAGGUUCCCUCAGAAUGGUUGGAAAUCAUUCAUAGAGUGUAAAGGCAUAAGGGAGCUUGACUGCGAGACCUACAAGUCGAGCAGGGUCGAAAGACGGACUUAGUGAUCCGGUGGUUCCGCAUGGAAGGGCCAUCGCUCAACGGAUAAAAGCUACCCCGGGGAUAACAGGCUUAUCUCCCCCAAGAGUUCACAUCGACGGGGAGGUUUGGCACCUCGAUGUCGGCUCAUCGCAUCCUGG